This 522-nucleotide ribosomal RNA is filed under the name uncultured bacterium. RNAcentral describes it as "bacterial SSU rRNA". It matches the Rfam family "Bacterial small subunit ribosomal RNA", at positions 777 to 1297 of the family's 1533-position model. The record is from RNAcentral.
AAUAGAUACCCUGGUAGUCCAUGCCGUAAACGUUGGGAACUAGAUGUGGGGACCAUUCCACGGUCUCCGUGUCGCAGCUAACGCAUUAAGUUCCCCGCCUGGGGAGUACGGCCGCAAGGCUAAAACUCAAAGGAAUUGACGGGGGCCCGCACAAGCGGCGGAGCAUGCGGAUUAAUUCGAUGCAACGCGAAGAACCUUACCAAGGCUUGACAUAUACGAGAACGCUGCAGAAAUGUAGAACUCUUUGGACACUCGUAUACAGGUGGUGCAUGGUUGUCGUCAGCUCGUGUCGUGAGAUGUUGGGUUAAGUCCCGCAACGAGCGCAACCCUCGUCGUAUGUUGCCAGCACGUAAUGGUGGGAACUCAUAUGAGACUGCCGGGGUCAACUCGGAGGAAGGUGGGGAUGAGGUCAAAUCAUCAUGCCCCUUAUGUCUUGGGCUUCACGCAUGCUACAAUGGCCGGUACAAAGGGCUGCAAUACCGCAAGGUGGAGCGAAUCCCAAAAAGCCGGUCUCAGUUCGGA